Mus musculus (house mouse) is the source of this 2171-nucleotide long non-coding RNA. RefSeq annotates it as predicted gene, 53843. The transcript is spliced from 3 exons. The record is from RefSeq and is a predicted model, not a curated record. Lineage: Eukaryota; Metazoa; Chordata; Mammalia; Rodentia; Muridae.
CGACUUCACCCAAUCAAGAAGCAGCAGAAAAUACUUCAGCCUAAGGAGGGACCCGAAGCUUUUACUAUCUUCAGCUGUAGAUCUAAGUCAAGAAUAAAGGCGUGGCUGGGUUUGGGCAGUGGCAUGCAAAGUAGAAAGGAGAGGGCUAAGAGGGGGCAAGGGAAGGAAGAGAGAUUGGCAAGUAGGAAAUUCUGCUCUUGCCUGCUUGCAGUCUAAAGGGAAUCAAGGUUGGGAAGCUGUCAGGGACUUGCCUGUAACCCCAGUACCGGGGAGGUGGGAACCUAGGAAGGUAAAGAGUUAAAUGCCAGUCUGGGCUAUCUAUGCACUGAGAUCCUGCCUCAAAGCUGAGUGUGUUGGGCCACGGCACCUGAAGAAGAGCUUGACCAGGUGGUCAUCGAGAGGGGACUGAAGUGGAAGCUAGUCAGCUGAGACAGAAAGGGAAGGCCUGAGACAGCGGGCAGGUGGCUAGCUAGUGCUCGGCUUUGGAGCGCAGCUAGCAUGGGAAGACUUAGCUUUCAACUGGAACAGAAAGCCUAAUUCAGAAACGUGUCACCAAAAACUUUUCCUAGAAGCCCUCUGAGCCCACAGACUUGACCUGUCCUCUCCUAGCAAGAACUGGGCCCCACAUCCAUGCCUAAAGCAGAACAGGUAAGACGCAACCACGUGGGCCGCCAGGGAUGAAUCCCUGAGUCACACUGGAGAAGGAGAAACAGCAGAAAGACAGUGCGACAUCUUAGGUUCAGCUCUUGGCCCCUGUUUCCGACCCAGCACUAGUUCCUGCUGGUGAGGUCUUUUGGAGAUACCAGAAAUCCCCGACAGCCCGAAACGUCACUUUAGAGCUUUCUCCUUGAGCUGGAGGUAAUGGUAUCGGCUCCUGCACACUUGAGGAGGUAUUCUUUGCGGGGGAGGGGCAGUCAGCCCCAUGGAUCCAAGUCUGGGUGCCAGCCUGGAGGGUGAAGAAAACCCAGAGCAAAGGCCUUUUUGAGCUCGUGGAGAUACUGCCCUCAACUGGCAGGCUGAGGAAGACCUUCAGGGCCAGCCUGGAGCCAGUUUGCAAAGGAGGCUGUUUUUAAUCUUGGAGGACCUGGGAAGGGAUCCCUACUCAAUCUGGGACUUGUCGGACGAAAAUGUCCAGCUUCGUUCUGGACCAGAAAUUUAUAGUUGGCUUGAGAAGAAAGGGGAGCUUAAGGGAGGUCGCACAAGCACACUGCCUCACAGACGCUGCACUCCAAGGCCACUGGCACAGGGUUCCCCGCGCACAGGCUUCUUCCUUGAGGGACUGCGCUCCGGGCACAUCAAGGAGACAGCAGCUGAACAGAGCUCCGGGCCAAGCUCAGCCGUUCCCAGACUGGAGAGAAGUGCCCAGUCUCCUCACUGCUGAUGGCUGAAGAUGGGCAAAGUUUUGUCAGAUCCUGGCUAGCAGUCUGGUCCUUGGGUCCCUGGCAGCACUUAUCCACGCCUGGGAAAGGAAGCAAGACAUAGUACGGGGGCAAUGCCCUAGGGACCCAUAGCUGUGCAGGGUUAAAUCUCAUUAGAGUCUGCUCCCCCAAAAAUCUCACAUUGAACCAGAGACUGUGAGGAGUGUGCACCCCCCUCCUCUUCACCCUCCACCCCCAAUACCACUAGACUUUUCUGUACAGCCCUCUGGGAUAGGGCCAUCCUUUUCUCCUCUUGGAACAAAAAGAUAGUGUCCUUAGCCCUAGGGCAUUGACUUGAAGUUGAAAGUAUAACCUAAAAACAAAAUUCUAGGCCUUUAGGCCCAGGCUUGGGAAUAUGACCUCUGUGCCUCAUUGCUCCAAGGUAUGCUAAUCAUAAAACAGAUAGCGACAUUCCUCCACCCACCCCCUUCCUAGGUUCAAAGAGUGUUCAUUCAAAGAAAGUCACCCUGACCAUUGCCGGAACCCGCUAUGCAAAUGUGCUAUUGUUAGGGGCUCUUAGAAACUGUCUUGAGAGAUAACCUGCACAAUUACCAGGUAUUCCUUUCGACUCUUGUGACUUUGCACUUCCUUGGGACUCUUAACUGGUAUCGCCCUCCCACUUCCUGAGUUGUGGUUUCUUCCUUUAAAUACCCCCUUACUCAGCUACUGGGGCGCCACGGUCCUCUACCCCUGCGUGGUGUAUGACUGUGGGCCUGAGAGCGCUCUUGAAUAAAAAUCCUCUUGCAGUUUGCA